UGGGGAAUAUUGCACAAUGGGGGAAACCCUGAUGCAGCAACGCCGCGUGAGUGAUGACGGUCUUCGGAUUGUAAAGCUCUGUCUUUGGGGACGAUAAUGACGGUACCCAAGGAGGAAGCCACGGCUAACUACGUGCCAGCAGCCGCGGUAAUACGUAGGUGGCGAGCGUUAUCCGGAAUUAUUGGGCGUAAAGGGAGCGUAGGCGGAUAAUUAAGUGGGAGGUUAAAGACUCAGGCUCAACCUGGGGGCUGUAGUCCAAACUGAUUAUCUAGAGUGCAG
Molecule: ribosomal RNA, 279 nt
Filed under: uncultured prokaryote
Description: partial 16S ribosomal RNA
Rfam family: Bacterial small subunit ribosomal RNA
Source: RNAcentral